Molecule: ribosomal RNA, 497 nt
Filed under: uncultured bacterium
Lineage: Bacteria
Description: bacterial SSU rRNA
Rfam family: Bacterial small subunit ribosomal RNA
Source: RNAcentral
GAUCAUGGCUCAGAUUGAACGCUGGCGGCAGGCCUAACACAUGCAAGUCGAGCGGUAGAGAGAAGCUUGCUUCUCUUGAGAGCGGCGGACGGGUGAGUAAUGCCUAGGAAUCUGCCUGGUAGUGGGGGAUAACGUUCGGAAACGGACGCUAAUACCGCAUACGUCCUACGGGAGAAAGCAGGGGACCUUCGGGCCUUGCGCUAUCAGAUGAGCCUAGGUCGGAUUAGCUAGUUGGUGAGGUAAUGGCUCACCAAGGCGACGAUCCGUAACUGGUCUGAGAGGAUGAUCAGUCACACUGGAACUGAGACACGGUCCAGACUCCUACGGGAGGCAGCAGUGGGGAAUAUUGGACAAUGGGCGAAAGCCUGAUCCAGCCAUGCCGCGUGUGUGAAGAAGGUCUUCGGAUUGUAAAGCACUUUAAGUUGGGAGGAAGGGCAGUUACCUAAUACGUGAUUGUUUUGACGUUACCGACAGAAUAAGCACCGGCUAACUCUGUG